CCUACGGGCGGCAGCAGUGAGGAAUAUUGGUCAAUGGGCGGGAGCCUGAACCAGCCAAGUCACGUGAGGGAAGACGGUCCUAUGGAUUGUAAACCUCUUUAGGCGGGGAGCAAUGCCGGGCACGCGUGCCCGGAGGGAGAGUACCCGCAGAAUAAGCAUCGGCUAACUCCGUGCCAGCAGCCGCGGUAAUACGGAGGAUGCGAGCGUUAUCCGGUUUUUUGGGGUUUAAAGGGUGCGUAGGCGGAUUUUUAAGUCAGCGGUAAAAUGUCCGGGCACAACCCGGGCCGGCCGUUGAAACUGGGAUCUUGAGUGGGCGAGAAGUAUGCGGAAUGCGUGGUGUAGCGGUGAAAUGCAUAGAUAUCACGCAGAACUCCGAUUGCGAAGGCAGCAGACCGGCGCCCGACUGACGCUGAGGCACGAAAGCGUGGGGAUCGAACAGGAUUAGAUACCCCAGUAGUC
This 459-nucleotide ribosomal RNA is filed under the name uncultured bacterium. RNAcentral describes it as "partial 16S ribosomal RNA". It matches the Rfam family "Bacterial small subunit ribosomal RNA", at positions 338 to 795 of the family's 1533-position model. The record is from RNAcentral.